UCAGUGCUUCAGCAGCGGCGCACAGAGACUGCAGUGAACUCCUCUAUCUAACGGGAAAAGUUCCUCUCUCAUGAAAGACUGAAAAGAAAAAUACACAUAAACUAACAAAAACAAAGCGAAACCCGCGUCGGGGCGGUGCAUGCGAACAGGAGAGACACCAUACAAGACCGCCGUACUCCAUGGCUGGAGAAAUCAUCUUUCAUUUUGCACUGUGUCCGCUCUCAGACGGAGAUCAAAACAAAAAAAAACUUCUUAAAAAAAGUUUUUGACACUUUAUCAGCGGAUUGAGAAUGCGUGUGGCAACCAGGCUCCUGAGCGCAAACCCGCGGGCGACACGCUUCCUAAUUUCGUGUGGGGAUGUUAGCUUUUCUGUUUUACACCGUGACUUCCUGGUGAUAUAUCCCAAAAUGACGAGUCAUGCGUCUUUUUAUAACUCUUCUUUCAAGAUAGCGCCAAGUCAGCUCCAGCAGUGCAGGAAAUCACCGGGAAGCUGCUGAAGGGCUCAAACAUUUUAAAUCUGGCAUUUCUGCUUUUCAUCUGGAGAAUACAGUCUACGAUCCAGUCAAACUGUUGGUACUUGCCCGAGUAAAUUAUCAGGCUACACAGCCUUUCCUUAACUAAAGCCAAAACAGAAAUUGUGACAGAUCUGUUUCGGUGUUUUAAAUUAAUCUGGACUCAGCAUUGAUAAAGCACUCAAAGAAAAAAUACUUUUAGUCAAAGAAAGGAGUUUUAACCAAAUAAAACGUUUGACAGGGAACAGCUAACUCCUGACCGGCAGUAACUGAUAAGCAGGUGGCGGGUUCGUCACAUGGACAAAGCCAAUUCUGGCAGCCAGAUUGAUAAGGAGAAACACAGCGAAAGAAGCUGAACUUGUGUCGAGCGCCUGUUCAGAAGCAGUCUCCAGAUUUCUCAAAAAUUGGAGCGAGUCACUUUCAGAGCCCAGUUUGGGGAGGGUGUCGGGUAACAUUUAAGUAUAACAUGAACCCAGUAGAAAUGGGAAGAACACUUGAAUUUUCCUUAGCCUAUUGACGUGUGGCUGUGGUUUCGAGUUAAGUAACCCUGUUAUACACAGCUUGGCUUUUUGCACUUUUAUUCCUGGUCUGCCCACACACAAAAAAAUCAAAACUGUGAACUUUUGAGAACUUUUUCUUUCCUGCCUCUUUUCUCCUAACCACCCUCCUCCAUACCGUGAAAGAUUGUCAAAGACUCGAAUGAUCGACAAUCAUGGGAGGUGACUUCAGCCCACACUCACAGAAUGCAAUGAAAAUAAACGACAACAAAAACGAAACAAAAUACAACGAGACUCUAGCGAAAAUUGAACGUGCACUUUUCAGAAAACUUGCUUUUGCGGCAUCCUCGCCUCAGCCGGAAGCAGAGACUUUCUUUCUAUUAAGGAGAUAAAAAAAGUCUAGCGGGAGUAACUAGUCAAGUAUUGUUACGUUUCCUUGUUCAGACGAGCUGAACUGAAUGCAGUUGCACUUUGUGAAUGUAGAUAGUGGUCAAUCAAGUGGACAUUAAAUAUCGCGAACGAUGGCUCUUAGUGUUUUCCUCCUGGAAUGUAGGUUGUUUGAAAUGACCGGAGCACGUGGGAGUACAACAGUCCUCGCUCUGAAGGCAUAUGUUGUGGAUUUAAAAUAUAUGUUAUAUAUAUAGGAACACUUUGAAUGAACGACCCUCCUCAGAAUCCGAUGUCCCAGACGUUGGAAAGUAACACACUCGCGGUGAACCGAGAAGUGAACAAGACAGUAGGCAUUGUGCAUUCAUACUGUACUCGAUCAAGUCAGUGUAACUCCAGAAGGUUCAUUGCCGUUCCGAGGACUCCACAUGACAGACCUGGGCUACAUCAGUUUGAAAAUCAAUUUAUCUUUUUUAAUAUGUGAAUGGAAUGUCAAUAAUGUCUUAAUAAGAAAACAAGGAAUAGGCAAAGUGAUUACAAGAAUUAACAGCAUUGAAAAUCCAGCUGGAUAGUACUGCAAAUGGAUUCUAUAGAAACUAAGAUAACAAAAUGUGAGGCUGGAUGAACACAGCAGGCCAAGCAGCAUCUCAGGCUUUCCAGUCACCAGUGACCUGUGCCUGAGAUGGAAACACUGCGCUGUUAACAGAGAUUGAAAAAACUGGGCUAACUGCGUUCUCUGGAGUUUGGAAGAAUGACAGGUGAUCACAGUGAAACCUACAAGAUACUUAAAUAAGCUGACAGGGUAGAUGCAGGAAUCUGAUGGACUCGAAAGCAUCGGCACAAAUCAACAUGGACUGGGAAAUUAUGAGUCUGCUACCAACACCUGACACGGCAAAUUGUCAAAGCUCUCAACAAACCAAUCAUCAACCGUGGGACAAAGGAGGAAUUUGCCCAUUACAAAAUCUAAUCUCAGAGAUUAGUGAGUGUGGCAUAUGUUGUUUUUACACAAAUUUACUUCUUGAUUCAGUGGUAUAGAAAAACUAAAAGAAAAGAUUGUCAAAACUAAGGGGUAGAUUUUAACAUUGGUGUUGUCCUUAAAACCGAGUGAUUAUGUCCCAAACUAACUUGCUGCCUCCCAGCACAGAAUGAUGGCUGACUGGUUAGCACUAUUGCCACACAGUGUCAGGAACCUGGUUCACUUCUAGCCUUGGGCGACUGUCUGUGUGGUGUUUGCUCUUUCUCCCCGUAUCUGUGUGGGCUCCCAUCGCCCACAGCCCAAAGAUAUGCAGGCUGGGUGGAUUGACCAUGGUAAAUAAUAUUUAAGGAAAUGGGAUAAGCAGUGGUGCCCCAUUCAGGCUCCUCCUACCUGGCAAUCUGCCUCACCAAGACCUGACUUCCAUGUCGAUAAGCUCCAACCUUCUGAAUGCAACAAGGUAUCCAACAGUAGUAUUGUCCUGCUAGUAUAUAUUGCAGGUCAGUAGUUUAAUAAUUAAAAUCUACCCCAGAGUUGAUUAUAUCACUCCCCUUUUGUUUUUGCUUUUAAUAAUGCAUUCCACGCCUGAAACAGAAAUAUAUUGGUGCAGUCAUCGAAUCAUGUCCAACUGUGUAUGCAAAUUUUAAACUUGGGUUUGACUGUUGCUCAAUGUGACAGGUUUAACUGUAAAUGUUAUACUAUAAUUAUAUUGUAACAUGCUGGCUAUUCCUUUUAUAAUUUUUUUUACACAAUUGUACAAUCCUUGCCAGUAUUUCUGCAGUCUUACAGAUGUGAUUUUUCUACUCUCAGUAGACUGUAAUUAUAAAAAAUGUGAUAUGAUGCUUUUUGUAUCUGCAGCAUCAAUGGAAACAUUAUAUUUCUGUAGGUUUGGAGAUUGCUGUGUACAGAAUGGCUAGUUUGUAAUAAUCAAAGAUUGCAGUAAAAAUAUUCAAAGAUAAAGAAUGAUAUUUUAAAUAUCCUAGGCAUGACACCUGAAAAUUACUAGUCAGGCCGAAGUUUUUAAAGAUGUAUUUAGUCCUUUGUCCGUUUAAAAUUCUGUCAUUUCAGUCAUUCCACUAAACAUAUAUUUUAAAGGCAAGUUUGUCCCUUCAUUUUCACCAUAUUCACUAUUGAGAUGUCAGCAUCGAUGGUAAGAUUAGCAUUCACCGCCUAACCUUAACUGCCCCUGUGAAGGUUACGGUGAGCUAUCCUCCUGAAUUGCUAAACUCGGUUUGGUGCAGACACAUCACAGAUUAGUUAGGAAACAUUGUGACCCAGUUCCAGUAAACGAAAAGUGAUACACUUCCAAUGAUGUGAAAUAGAAUUCCCAUGUGUUACCUGCACUUGCACUUCCUGAUGAUUGAUGAUAGAGUUUACAGCAAUAGAAGGUUCUGACAGGGCCCCCUUACCAAGUUGCUGUAGAUCAUCUCAUAGAUGGUACACUCUGUUGCUUUGGUGUGUAAGACACCUGAAGGUGGUGGGCUGUGGAAACUUACCAGAGGAACUCCACAUUUUUUCCUGGGCUAAAGUGAUUGGCCUCCAACAAUUGUAUUAGAUAAGAUUCUAACCAGUGAGGAGCUUUUCACACUAUUGCCCACUAACUUCAGCGUUGCUGGGGCUCGUUGAUACCACAGUCUGAGUAAAGCUGUCUUGAUGUCUAGGGGAGAAACUCUCAUCGGAUUUCUGGAAUUCAACUCUUGUGUUCAGCUAUGGGUCAAGGUCAUUAUGAGGUCUAUAGAGAUACCAACACAGAACCUAGUUAUUCACCAAAAAAUAAGAGAACUACUGAAAUAUUUUAGACUUAGAUUUAGAUUUUAGAUUCCCUACAGUGUGGAAACAGGCUCUUCGGCCCAACAAGUCCACACAACCCCUUGAAGCAUCCCACCCAGACCCAUCCCCCUAUAACCACAUCCCUGAACACUACGGGCAAUUUAGCUCGGCCUAUCCACCUAGCCUGCACACCUUUGGACUGUAGGAGGAAACCGGAGCACCCGGAGGAAACCCACGCAGACACGGGGAGGAUGUGCAAACUCCACACAGACAGUUACCCGAGGCUGGAAUCAAACCCAGGUCCCUGGCACUGUGAGGCUGCAGUGCUAACCACUGAGCCACUGUGCCACCCUAAUAUUUUGACUGCGAGCCAAGCCAUUUCCUGAUUUUACAUUCCUGAUGCCAUGGAGCUGUCACACUACAUGUUAUUUUCAUCUAUAUAAUAUGUAGAGAGUAUGGUUUGGGCCUGCCACCUCUGGAUUGAUUGGCUCUAAUGCAUACUGGAUAAAAAGUCUGCUUUGGUUGACUGUCACUUUAUACUAGCCUUGUGUGUAGUUCUUUGGCUGCGCCCCCAGUACCUCCAUGUAUCCCUUCCAUGAUCCUUUAUAUCCACUGUUCUUUUAUUUCAGCCAAGCAGUCAUGUGGCCAUUUAUAAAGCAGAAAACUGGCCAUUUGUUUGCACUGUGUCUUAGGAUACUGUUGUCUCAUAGAACAGUACAGACACGAAUGGGCCCUCUGGCCUACGAUGUUGUGUCGAACAUGACACAAAAUUAAACUAAUCCCUUCUGCCUGCCCUUGAUCUAUAUCUGCCCAUUUGUUGCAUAGUCUUGUGCUUAUCUAAAAGUCCCUUAAACGCCCCUAUUGUAACUGCAUCUUGUCCAAUGAUCUUGUUAUGAAUGCUUGACUCUAUUCAAAGAAUAACUGAUCGACUAAUCUCAGAUUUCUUUAUGCCCUUUCAAGGAGAGUGCUAAUUUUGUAUGAUUGAUAUCUUCAUGGUUGUGUAAUAAGUUUGUAUUUCUUUGGUAUAGCUUUUCAUUGCUUAUUUUCUGAUUUGGACAAGAAUGAGAUGUGCAGACAGGAUUGAAUCUUUUGCCUUUGCUACAAUGAAUGAUUGCAACUGAUUGACACUUUACGGAGUUGUGAAUUUGAGGUUUGUUCAGGGACACUGUCAAAGUGUGUUUUUUUUUGUAUCAAUAUUAGGAACAUUUCAAAGACUUGCCAAUGGCUCGUUGUUUCCUUACAUAGUGGGUAUAAGAAGGAUGGAUACAGAGGAAACAUGGACAUAGAUGGCUAGUGGGUGUGGAGGUGAUGUGAAUGUACUUGAGGAAAUAUGAGGAAGCAUGGGUGGCACAUGAGGGUUUAUGAGGGAGGAUGGUGAAUGUGAGGGGACACAGUUAAGCCUCUUUGAACUUAUCUGUCAAAAUGAUCCGAACUCCUCAGCAAGCUGUCUCCCGAGUUUUAUGACUUGACGUACCUGGUGUGCUUUCCACAAGUUUCUAGAACGAGCAUGACAAAAAUAGCAUGGGCCCAUGAAAUUUAUUUUUCCAUGUUGUUUUUGGGGCUAAGAUGAUUGGCUUCUGACAAUUGUAUUAGAUUAGACUCUAACCAGUGAAGAGCUUUUCACACUGUUGCCCACUAAUUCAGUGUCGCUGGGGUUUCUUGAUACCACACUCUGAAUAAAGCUGCCUUGAUGUCGAGGGGAGAAACUCUUGUCGCGUUCCUUGAGUGAAACUGUUUUGUCAAGCUUUGAGUCAAGGUCGAAUUGAGGCCUUUGUGAUGGUGAAUCUCACUUCACCUGAUGUGUUUCCUGACCUGGCGAAUGCUGGGAACAGAGCCAUGUGAUUGAAACCCCUGCCCAACGAUCUCAUGUGACCCAUACCAAACCAACCUACUGCCAAAGCUGAAAAUUGGAAAUAAAAAUGAGAAAGGGUUAGCAAAUCUCAGCACAUCAGUUGGCAUCUAUGGAGAGAGAAUAGGUUAAUGUUUCAGAUGGAUAACCUAUCAUCAGAAGGGAAGAGAACAAGAGAUUUAAGAGAUUUUUAUAAACCAGUGAAAGAACAGAGGAAGCAAAUGACUCAAUUCUGGUUAGGUUUUAGAGUGGGAUGUCUAGCCAGUUAACAUUGGUUUCAAACUGAAAUGUAGAUAUUGGUUGUAAAUUUUCUGUCCCAGCUUAAAAGCAGGACAGGGAGAAAACUUGCAACAUCACUUUAGUGAUCCAGCACACUGGGAAUAUUUGUCUCCUGUGAACGUAAAAUUUCUAAGACAGCAAGAUCUGGCCAAAAUCUCUCAAAUGGUCAUUUUUCUUUCCACAGAGACUCAUUUCUUGAGGUCCCUACUUGACACAAUUAACUGUCAAACUAACACAAAAAAAGACAGGUUCAACAAAGAGUUUUUUUAGAACAAGCCAAUUUUUAAACAAUUCAGAGGCAUGCUAAACUUUCCUUUCCCUUUAAUGCUGCAUCCUGAACAGUAUUAAUCUCUCCAGCAUGUGAAAUUUACAGCACACUUCUACCUGUUAAAUGUAAAUUCUAACCAGCCAGUUAUUUUUCACUUACAGUUAAUCAUCUUGCCAAUGCAAAUAUUCAUAGUUUAAGUUAUUCAUCCCUCAUAUUACUGCAAUGUGUUUCUGCUACAGUAAUAUAAACCAUUAGCAUUAUGGUCAAUUAAUUCUACAUUUCUCAGAAGUGCUUUGCAGUGUUCCAAAAAGAAUGUUCCAAGCACAGACUUUAGAUUUGGUGUAUAACCAACUUCCCUGUAUUUCACUAUUUUAAACGUGUGGUUACAAUUUAUGAAACCACGUUGAGCUUUUACUGUUUUUCAGUCUGUUCAAAAUACUGCCUGCUAUCAUCAAUAUUAAACAUGCCAAAGGUUAUAAACAGGUUGAUCAGUAAAAUAUCACAGUAAGCCAGUAAUAAAUGAAUCUGCUGGAUAUCUCACAUACUGUGAGCAGUUUAAACUACAAAAGAAACUAUGUGCAUUGUUCAUUGAUAAAGCUUCAGCCACAACCAAUUUAAAGUUGCAUGAGGAGAGUAGAAUGCAUCUAUAACAGCAUGAUCUCCCCUCUCGCUGAGCUGAAAUUACUCAAUAUAGUUAAUUCCACGAGGACAGCUUGGUUGACGGGUUUUGCAAGUACACUUCAUUUCCAAAGAUUUACUGAGCAUAAAAUUGUCCCAUUGAACCUUUAUGAUAAAAAUUAAAAUGCUUAAGGGGCAUAUUUUAAGUUUAAAAGUGUUUCUUUACACUGGGUGGAGGAACAUUGCAACUGGUGUGAGCAAUGCAAAUGACAGAAGCCACAAAACUGGAGGUGCUGCGUAUACUUAGUAGGUCUGGCAGCAUCUGUGGAGAGGCAGAGUUUGGAGUCCAGUGCACUUAAUUUGAUGGCCUUGCAUUGGUGCCUAAAUGUGUUUGAAUGGAGUAGCACACAAUGGCUGGUUUAACGUUUUCCCAGCAGCAGGUCAGAAGGAAUGUCCAUCUCUGCCUCCACCACACCUCUACCUGCAAGGGGCAGGUAAGGUCAGGCAGCCUCCCUUUCAAUGGGCCUGUUGACAAACUGGGAGCUAAUGCGUGGCAGAGAGAGGUCCACAACAAGAAGGCAGUCAAGUAAGUUACCCUAGCGAAAACUGAUAGCAUGAGGUGGGAGUGCAGCCCCCUCUUCAUGGACCUCCUGGCCUCGUCACGGAGGGCACUUCCCAAAACAUAAUACCCUUUUCUCCACACUGCCUAGCUUUCCAACUACAAUGGUGCUUUGACCCAGGCACCAUGCACACUAUCUCCUCACCACUGUCACCGUUCCCCCCCCUGCCAAAAACUGACCUCUCCUGAGGAAUUCGUAUGACAUCAGCUAUGUCACUGCAGCUCCACAGAAACCCAACAGCCUCUGUUUGCCUGAGAACUGUUUCUAAACAUGUCAGACUUGCUGCUCCUGGGGAAGGGAAGUGAGUGCAGAAGUCUGAUGUAUGCCUUAAGGGUUUACCACUCUUCCCCUGAUGAAGAACUGCAAGUGCUGUGUCAUUUGUCCACUGCAUCCUAGCAUUUUAGCCUGGGACGUGUGGUCUCAGAUGUCUUAUUAAAUCCACCCCCAAAUAUAAUGUAAAGGUACCCUAAAAUUCCUUUUUGCCCCAUAACGUGGACAAAGCAGUCUGUACCAUUUGUUGCAUUUGCUACUUGACACAUGUCAGACCAGUAAUCAAAUUGGCAUACCAUAUGUGACAAGUCAAGCAGAUGUUUUAUCUGCCUAUGCACAUAGCACAAGAACGGAGAGGGCUUUAAAAGUGGAUUGACAAAUACUGAUGGGAGAAAUACUCUUACUGCAGCAAAUUAUUCAAGUGGUUGUUAAAAAGCUUACCACAGGAUAAUUUAAACCUUGAAUGGUAAAUACUAGCAAUUUAUCAGAAUGCAUGCGUUAAUGUAAUACACAAAGCAGGCACUAAAUGUUCUAUUUCAGCUCGUUUUAUAAUGACAAUAUUUUUGUUUCAGCAUUGCUUUCCUUCUCAGUGAUCUCUUUUUCAGUUUAAUUUCACUCCUUUUCACAACUGUUCAAGAAAUGAUAAAUAAUCUGACAGAGCACUUUCGUAAUUGAAGUAUGUGAGCAGUAGAUUUAAGGAAGAAAAUUUUCUAUCAAAGUUUUACCAUUAAAACAAGCAAAUACCAAAGUCACUUUUUUAAAAUGAUGUUUAUUCAGAAAGCUUUACAUAUAAAUUUGCAAUGUGCAAAGUCAAAUGAUUAUAUAUGUAAAAACUGAUUCAAGAAAAGUAGCGUAGUCAAAAGGUAAUAUAUUUUUUUUCACAAAUGUAGGUAAACGUAUUACCUGGUUUACAUGGAAAAUGCAAAAUUACAUUCAGGGUUGCCUGGUUAUAUAAUGUCAGAGGUACUGGCAGUGUACAGAAAGAAUAAUAGUUAUUUGAACUUAAUCGCAGGAAACAGACUUAUCAUACAAAAUUGAAAAUCAGCUGCAUAUAAUUAGCAAUUAAUUAUUCUGUAUAUUCACGACUAUGUAAAAUAUCUGUAGUGUAUAACUGUAUGGAAAGAUUUGAAUGUAUUUGAGGGUGGUCUAGACAGUGUUUGAUUUGCUGCAAAAUUAUGUUAAUACUGGAUCACCCCUACUGUUCCUACAUUUUGAAUAUUCAUUUGCCUUUGUGUGUUUGAAAAAGACAUUUCUUUUACUGCCUAAUUCAUUAAACUGUCCUUUUUAUCUGUGUUUCACAUGAUUCCUGAGAUGUAGUUUUACAUUGCAUGAUGCAAUUUAUUUUACACUUUCCUUGCCUGCCGAAAUAUGUAAAUACGUCAAAUAUUUAUUUAUUUGGGUGCUAAUGUAAGUGGGCAUUUGGAACCCUCUUAUUUUGUAAAAUAAAUCUCUAUGUUCAUAAGCAUUGAAAUCAGCAAUAUUACAAAAGUUGUAUAAAAGGGAAAAUGUGCAAUAAAAGC
Stegostoma tigrinum is the source of this 9563-nucleotide long non-coding RNA. RefSeq lists it as uncharacterized. NCBI's taxonomy places the organism in Eukaryota, Metazoa, Chordata, Chondrichthyes, Orectolobiformes, Stegostomatidae. The transcript is spliced from 5 exons. The record is from RefSeq and is a predicted model, not a curated record.